UCGCAAGAGUAAGAAACGCAGACAGUGAAUGCCUUGCUUCUCAUCUCCGAAAAAGGACGUACAUGGUCACGAUAGUCGUCGGGUAGGAGCCACGAUCCAUUGAUCCGACGGUGUCCGAAUGGGGAAACCCUUCCAGCUUUGCUGGAAACUUAGCCUCCAAAUGUGUUCCGCAAGGAAUGUUAUAAAGGCUAAUGUGGGAACCGCCCGAACUGAAACAUCUCAGUAGGGCGAGGAAUAUAAAUCAAGCGAGAUUCCGUCAGUAGCGGCGAGCGAAAGCGGAACAGUCUAAACCUUUGUGCACAGCACAAGGAAUUCAAAAAGCAAAAGUCAUAAUGCAAAAGUGCAAUUCAAAAGUAAAAAUAAAAACUUUUGAAUUUUAACUUGUAUUUUUGAUUUUUAAAUUUUAACUUUUGAUUUCCGUGUGCUGUGCAUGGGGGGGUUGCAGGAGCCCGAUGUGAGAGUAAAAUUGGUAGUAGAACGGUAUGGAAUUGCCGGCCACAGAGAGUGAAAGCCUCGUAUAUUAAACUAAUUUUGCCUCUAGGGAUUUCCUAAGUACCACGGAACACAUAUUCUGUGGGAAACGGGGGGAACCAUCCUCCAAGACUAAAUAAGAUGAGAGAGCGAUAGUGAACUAGUACCGUGAGGGAAAGGUGAAAAGCUGAGUGAAACACUCAAUGAAAUAGAACCUGAAACUGUUUGCGAACAAUCCGAUAGAGUCCCCUUAAAAGGAUGAUAUCGUGCCUAUUGAAGAAUGAGCCGGCGAGUUGUUUUAAUUUUCUAGUCUAACCAAGUUAUUUGGGGAGGCGUAGGGAAACCAAGUCUUAAAAGGCGAAAAGAAAAUUAGAUCAGACCCGAAACCAGGUGAGCUAACCAUGAGCAGGGUGAAGGAGAUAGAAAUAUCUGUGGAAGCCCGAACCCGUUGUCGUUGCAAUGACAUGGGACGACUUGUGGUUAGUGGCAAUAUACCUAACGAACCUGGAGAUAGCUGGUUCUCCCCGAAAGGUCUAUAGGGACCGUGGUAUGUAAAGUUAUGUUGGCUGUAGAGCACUAGAUGGGUUGGAGAGCGCAAGCAAUUCAACUCAAUUAAACUCCGAAUACUAACGUUAAUUAUCAUACUAGACAGACAUAUCGGGCUAAGCUGAUAUGUCGAAAGGGAAACAACCCAGAUUUUCAGCUAAGGCCUCUAAAUUACAACUAAGUUUAAAAGGAAGUACGUGUCCGAAAACAGCCAGGAGGUUGGCUUAGAAGCAGCCACCCUUUAAAGAUAGCGUAACAGCUCACUGGUCGAUUAGGGCGCGUGCGCCCAAGAUUUAUCGAGGAUAAGUUGUAUGCCGAAGCUAGAAAUUUUGUCAUAAUUUAUUAUGACGGAGUGGUAGGGGAGCGUUCCGACAGCGGUGAAGCUGUGUUGUAAGACAUGGUGGAGCGGUCGGGAGUGAGAAUGUCGGCUUGAGUAGCGCACAAUUACCGUGAGAAUCGGUAGCACCGAAUGUUCAAGGUUUCCACUGCAAGAUUCGUUCACAGUGGGUUAGUCGGUACCUAAGGCGAGGCCAUAUUGGCGUAGUCGAUGGAAGAGUAGUCAAAAUUCUACUAUUUGGUUUGAAUCGAAAAAUCCGCAAGGAUAAGCUGGGGAUUGACCAAAUUGGAAAAUCAGGGCCCAUUAUUGAAUUUGGGUUCAAGCUGCAAGACAGUAUUGUGUGGAAAAUCCCGCAGUAUGUUUAAUCGAGCAGUCAUGUAAACUCUGUCGCGAGAUGGGGGAUUCUGAACGUUUCAGUUUGCAGGAAAAGGUUCGCAGCGAGAGUCAAACUAAGCCGUACCGCAAACCGACACAGGUGAACUGGGGGAGUACCCUAAGGUGAUCGAGAGACAAAUUCUCAAGGAACUCGGCAAAAAAACUAUCCGUAACUUUGGGAGAUGGGUUCCCCACGUCGCCGUAAGGCUAUGAGGGGGGCACCGAAAGUUUGCUAGUCGACUGUUUACCAAAAACACAGGUCCGUGCAAAGACGAAAGUCGAAGUAUACGGGCUGACGCUUGUCCAGUGCCGGUAAGUUAAGAAGAGGGGUGGCUUGUCGCAAGAUGAAUUGCUCUGAAUUGAAGCUCCGGUGAACGGCAGCAGUAACUAUAACUGUUCUAAGGUAGCGAAGUUCCUUGCCAGGUGAGUUCUGGCCCGCAUGAAUAGCGUAACGAGCUAGCAACUGUCUUGAGAGUUUACUCGGCGAAAUAGCGAUGGCUGUGAAGACGCGGCCUACUUCUACAUGGACAAAAAGACCCCGUGGAGCUUUACUGUAAGUAGACAUUGCUUUCAUAUUUUUUGAUUGUCUAGAAUAGGUGGGAGAUUCGUCAUAAUAUGUAAUACCACUCGUUGGAAAAUGUGAAGCUUACUUUACUCGCCUGGAGACGGCGAGGGGAAACGUGUUUGCUGGGCAGUUUUACUGGGGCGGUACCCUGCCAAAAUGUAACGCAGGGACACAAAGGUUGGCUUUCCACCGAUGGAAACGGUGGGUAAAGCGCAAAGGUUUAAGCCAGCUUGACUGCAAGGGAUACAUCCCGCGCAGGUAGGAAACUAGGUCUUAAUGAUCCUCCGAUGCACAAUGGGUGUGCACGGAGCUUAAUGGAUAAAAGCUACCCCGGGGAUAACAGAGUAGUCGCGCCCGAGCGUCCAUAGCGACGGCGCGGUUCGCUACCUCGAUGUCGGCUCAUCACAUCCUGGCGCUGAAGAAGGUGCCAAGGGUCGGUCUGUUCGCCCGUUAAAGUGAUACGCGAGCUGGGUUCAGAACGUCGUGAGACAGUUGAGCACAUUAACAUAUUGUGCUGACAAUCUAAGCUGUCUUUCUAUACAACGUUGUGAAUCAUUUCUAGUUUUUACUAGAAAGUAGAGGUUUAGUAUAUUUUGUUAUACCUAUAGAAUCCUGAUACCAGUUCAGGAAAUAAAUUUGGGCCACCUACGCUGAAAGGCUACGGCGGCUCCCACGAAACUCGGAAGAGUGAAGUGGGACUAUUUGCUGGAAAAUCCGGUGUAUGUUGCACUACCAUUUAAAAAGUGGUAAAAAUGCGCAACUGCGGACAAUCAGCAGGAAAGACCAUAGUGAUAUCAAAUAUAAAAUAUUAAAAAGUAAAUAUUGGGACAAAAGUUCCAAUCUGCAUUUUUGAUAUUUGAUUUUUAAUUUUUGAUUUUAUUAUGGAAUCCUCACAGACUAUACGCCAAAUCCCACGUCGCCCUAAAGGGCUAUGAGGGAAAGAUAUAGUCGGAUCCUACGAGCGAUCGUAGGUCCCUGAAACACAGGAGUGUGUUCAGGGUUUAAAACAAUUAUGUCGGACUCUAUCCUGUAGAAGCGUUGGAAUCUUGAGGAGAGCUGGGGACAGUACGAGAGGACCUCCCUGGGGGAAUCCCUGGUGUGCCGGUUAUUGCAUCAGCAGUAACGCCGGGUAGCUACAUUCCCAACGGAUAACCGCUGAAAGCAUCUAAGUGGGAAGCCGCCUCCGAGAUUAGGAUUCCUGAUACGAAAGUAUCGUUAGACCCCCGACAGAAUAUCGGGUUAAUCGGUUAGCGCUGGAAGUCCCGUAAGGGAUUAAGGCUACUAAUGCGAAUUGGUCGAUUUCUUGCGAUC
This 3605-nucleotide ribosomal RNA is filed under the name Candidatus Woesebacteria bacterium. RNAcentral's name for it is "23S ribosomal RNA". It matches the Rfam family "Bacterial large subunit ribosomal RNA". Lineage: Bacteria; Candidatus Woeseibacteriota. The record is from RNAcentral.